GGUGCGGUAGCAAAGCGGUUAUGCUCUGGACUGCAAAUCCAGCUAGGUGGGUUCGACUCCCUCCCGCACCU
RNAcentral lists this transfer RNA (71 nucleotides) under Zoogloeaceae bacterium. Its description in RNAcentral is "tRNA-Cys". It matches the Rfam family "tRNA". Rfam says of the family: Transfer RNA (tRNA) molecules are approximately 80 nucleotides in length. Their secondary structure includes four short double-helical elements and three loops (D, anti-codon, and T loops). Further hydrogen bonds mediate the characteristic L-shaped molecular structure. tRNAs have two regions of fundamental functional importance: the anti-codon, which is responsible for specific mRNA codon recognition, and the 3' end, to which the tRNAs corresponding amino acid is attached (by aminoacyl-tRNA synthetases). tRNAs cope with the degeneracy of the genetic code in two manners: having more than one tRNA (with a specific anti-codon) for a particular amino acid; and 'wobble' base-pairing, i.e. permitting non-standard base-pairing at the 3rd anti-codon position. Lineage: Bacteria; Pseudomonadati; Pseudomonadota; Betaproteobacteria; Rhodocyclales; Zoogloeaceae. The record is from RNAcentral.